GACGAACGCUGGCGGCGUGCUUAACACAUGCAAGUCGAACGGAAAGGCCCUGCUUUUGUGGGGUGCUCGAGUGGCGAACGGGUGAGUAACACGUGAGUAACCUGCCCUUGACUUUGGGAUAACUUCAGGAAACUGGGGCUAAUACCGGAUAGGAGCUCCUGCUGCAUGGUGGGGGUUGGAAAUUUUCGGCGGUUGGGGAUGGACGCGCGGCUUAUCAGCUUGUUGGUGGGGUAGUGACUUACCCAGGCUUCGACGGGUAGCCGGCCUGCGAGGGUGACCAGCGACAUUGGGCCUGCGAGACGGCCCAGACUCCUACGGGAGGCAGCAGUGGCGAAUAUUGCACAAUGGGCGGAAGCCUGAUGCAGCAACGCCGCGUGCGGGAUGACGGCCUUCGGGUUGUAAAACGCUUUAGCCUGUGACGACGCGUGAGUGACGGUAAUGAGUAAAGAAGCACCGGCUAACUACGUG
RNAcentral lists this ribosomal RNA (468 nucleotides) under uncultured bacterium. RNAcentral's name for it is "partial 16S ribosomal RNA". It matches the Rfam family "Bacterial small subunit ribosomal RNA", at positions 28 to 507 of the family's 1533-position model. The record is from RNAcentral.